ACUCAAAUGAAUUGACGGGGGCCCGCACAAGCGGUGGAGCAUGUGGUUCAAUUCGACGCAACGCGAAGAACCUUACCGAGGUUUGAACUGCACGGGACCGCUCUAGAGAUAGAGUUUCCCUUCGGGGCCCGUGUAGAGGUGCUGCAUGGCUGUCGUCAGCUCGUGUCGUGAGAUGUUGGGUUAAGUCCCGCAACGAGCGCAACCCUCGCCUCCUGUUGCCAACAGAUAAUGCUGGGCACUCUGGAGAGACUGCCGGUGACAAACCGGAGGAAGGUGGGGAUGACGUCAAGUCCUCAUGGCCUUUAUGCCUCGGGCUACACACGUGCUACAAUGGUCGGUACAAAGGGUUGCAAUACCGUGAGGUGGAGCUAAUCCCAAAAAACCGAUCCCAGUUCGGAUUGGAGUCUGCAACUCGACUCCAUGAAGCUGGAAUCGCUAGUAAUCGCGGAUCAGAAUGCCGCGGUGAAUACGUUCCCGGGCCUUGUACACACCGCCCGU
This 498-nucleotide ribosomal RNA is filed under the name uncultured bacterium. Its description in RNAcentral is "partial 16S ribosomal RNA". It matches the Rfam family "Bacterial small subunit ribosomal RNA", at positions 899 to 1397 of the family's 1533-position model. The record is from RNAcentral.